UGCGUAGGCGGACCUAUAAGUCAGAAGUGAAAUCUUGCCGCUUAACGGUAAAACUGCUUUUGAAACUGUAGGUCUUGAAUUUAGGAGAGGUAGGCGGAAUGAGUAAUGUAGCGGUGAAAUGCAUAGAUAUUACUCAGAACACCAAUUGCGAAGGCAGCUUACUAUACUAACAUUGACGCUGAGGCACGAAAGCGUGGGGAGCGAACAGGAUUAGAUACCCUGGUAGUCC
RNAcentral lists this ribosomal RNA (229 nucleotides) under uncultured bacterium. RNAcentral describes it as "partial 16S ribosomal RNA". It matches the Rfam family "Bacterial small subunit ribosomal RNA", at positions 568 to 796 of the family's 1533-position model. The record is from RNAcentral.